This 470-nucleotide small RNA is filed under the name Histoplasma ohiense. RNAcentral describes it as "hypothetical lncRNA". Lineage: Eukaryota; Fungi; Ascomycota; Eurotiomycetes; Onygenales; Ajellomycetaceae. The record is from RNAcentral.
CUUUAAAUUUUUAAUAGUUAAGGGAUGAACUUGUGUCGGAACUGGAUAAAAGUCCGAAUAUUGACCCAAAUAGACUGGCCGUGUGACCAUGCAUGGGACCAGGACCAAAUUUUUCCUCAGUCCCAUUCUCAAAUAUCUUAGUCCUGGUCCCAUAUAGUGUUUAUCAAAUCAGUCACUUUACAUGAUUUAUAUUAUAAUUCUAGUUCCAGGUCAUGUUUUAGUUACAAAUUAUCAGUCCUGGUUCCAUUUGGUCCCAUUUUACAAAAUGGGACCCAACGGGACCAUGAUUUACCCUAUAUAGAUUAGCAGCGAUAGCUAGCUUAGCAGUGAGGGAUAGCUUAGCAGCGAUAGAUAGAUUGGCAGUGAGGGAUAGAUUAGCAGCAAGGAAUAGCUUAGCAGUGAGGGAUAGCUUAGCAGCGAUAGAUAGAUUGGCAGUGAGGGAUAGAUUAGCACCAAGGAAUAGCUUAGCA